This 594-nucleotide small RNA is filed under the name Thermoanaerobacterium thermosaccharolyticum DSM 571. Lineage: Bacteria; Bacillati; Bacillota; Clostridia; Thermoanaerobacterales; Thermoanaerobacteraceae. The record is from RNAcentral. RNAcentral also lists the same sequence under 1 other name.
UCAAUAUCGACAUGAAGUGGUGCAGUAUCCUAGUCGGUAUUGUUAAUUCUGAAGACGGGCCUAAAAAUCCGUUAAAGGCAUAUCGAUGAAGUUCCUGGUGCUGGCUUUUGAUGCCCAAUCGAGGGCUCGUGCUGGGAGUUAAGAAAAGAGGGGCAACCUGCAAUGGCAUGUGGGCAUUGACCCCCUUUUCGUGGAGACCUAUUCACGUGGCAUGAUGCUACGGUAUAGGGUGAACCUACCAUGCGGUAAUAAAGCUGUGGGUAGUGUAGCCUGCCUUGAGUGAUUAAGGUGGUUAUCAGACUGAACUUUAACUUAAUGAGCUCUUAAGUUAAAGCUAUUGCUGAUGAAACCUUAAUUGCAAAAGAGGAUAGGAAUUAACAAACCGUCGAGGAAAGCUCCUAGGCUGCUCGAACGAGGCAUAUUGAGGAUUACAGUGUGGACUAAGUGGUAAUCCAGUCAUACCAUUGGCGACAAGGUAGAUUCAGGCUUAAAGGGAAACCGCCAAAUGGCGACAGUUGGUGCCUGAAUGGGAAAUCCUGCUGGACCUAAGCCACAAAAUUUACUCAAUAUGCUACCACUUCAAUACAUAGGGAG